This 317-nucleotide unclassified non-coding RNA is filed under the name uncultured fungus. RNAcentral describes it as "partial contains 18S rRNA, ITS1, 5.8S rRNA, ITS2 and 28S rRNA". The record is from RNAcentral. Lineage: Eukaryota; Fungi.
AUGGAUCAUGUAACACUCUGUUGCUGCUGCUGCUGUGUGUCGCUGCUGGCCGAGUGUGUGGCUCUUUGCAAAAGGAGCCCACCUCGUGUCCAUUGGCGUCGCACACAUGCACGCAUGCAUACACACACACCCACUCGCACGUGGUUUGAUCGUUCAUGGGCAGCGGUUAGUGGCCUCACAGCGACUGCUGCUGCCCAUCUGUUCAUUCUUAUCAACCCCUGUUUUCCAUUGUAACUAAACCUCAUGGUCGAUUCGCUUAUGCGAACCGAUACGAAAAACAACCAAAACAACUUUCAACAACGGAUGUCUUGGUUCCC